GGUUCUCAGAACCAAGAAGGUCUAUAACACCUGGAGAGAACUAUUCAUUAGCAACCCCAUUCGUCCCAAUGGCAGUUUGUUGACUGGCACAGGAACCCUCACAAGUAUUCAAUCAGCUUUCUGCCAUCUUUUCACAUGACGAUUCUGACGUCAAUUGGUGGCCAUGUGACUUCAGCUUGUCUAGGACCCACCCCAUGAGGAAUAAAACCACUUUUUCUAGAAGACUGAUAUAUCUAGAGAUUUCAUCAAAUGAUUCAACAAAUCUUGAGAGCACUAUGGAGAGAGUUGAACUCUCAAGGGAUGGUGAGAAGCUGUGAAUUUGGAGGAGCAGAUGUGCAAGGACUAAUAUGCGUUAUUGAUGCAUGGGAUUCUCUCUCUGCUGCUCUUCUGUUUUUGCCUCAGACGUCAUGCAUCAACGUCUGAUGCAUAUGACGC
Molecule: non-coding RNA, 435 nt
Organism: Pimephales promelas (fathead minnow)
Lineage: Eukaryota; Metazoa; Chordata; Actinopteri; Cypriniformes; Leuciscidae
Source: RefSeq, a predicted model, not a curated record